GACGAACGCUGGCGGCGUGCUUAACACAUGCAAGUCGAACGGAAAGGCCCUGCUUUUGUGGGGUGCUCGAGUGGCGAACGGGUGAGUAACACGUGAGUAACCUGCCCUUGACUUUGGGAUAACUUCAGGAAACUGGGGCUAAUACCGGAUAGGAGCUCCUGCUGCAUGGUGGGGGUUGGAAAGUUUCGGCGGUUGGGGAUGGACUCGCGGCUUAUCAGCUUGUUGGUGGGGUAGUGGCUUACCAAGGCUUUGGCGGGUAGCCGGCCUGAGAGGGUGACCGGCCACAUUGGGACUGAGAUACGGCCCAGACUCCUACGGGAGGCAGCAGUGGGGAAUAUUGCACAAUGGGCGGAAGCCUGAUGCAGCAACGCCGCGUGCGGGAUGACGGCCUUCGGGUUGUAAACCGCUUUCGCCUGUGACGAAGCGUGAGUGACGGUAAUGGGUAAAGAAGCACCGGCUAACUACGUGCCAGCAGCCGCGGUGAUACGUAGGGUGCGAGCGUUGUCCGGAUUUAUUGGGCGUAAAGGGCUCGUAGGUGGUUGAUCGCGUCGGAAGCGUAAUCUUGGGGCUUAACCCUGAGCGUGCUUUCGAUACGGGUUGACUUGAGGAAAGGUAGGGGAGAAUGGAAUUCCUGGUGGAGCGGUGGAAUGCGCAGAUAUCAGGAGGAACACCAGUGGCGAAGGCGGUUCUCUGGGCCUUUCCUGACGCUGAGGAGCGAAAGCGUGGGGAGCGAACAGGCUUAGAUACCCUGGUAGUCCACGCUGUAAACGGUGGGUACUAGGUGUGGGGUCCAUUCCACGGGUUCCGUGCCGUAGCUAACGCUUUAAGUACCCCGCCUGGGGAGUACGGCCGCAAGGCUAAGACUCAAAGGAAUUGACGGGGCCCCGCACAAGCGGCGGAGCAUGCGGAUUAAUUCGAUGCAACGCGUAGAACCUUACCUGGGUUUGACAUGGAUCGGGAGUGCUCAGAGAUGGGUGUGCCUCUUUUGGGGUCGGUUCACAGGUGGUGCAUGGCUGUCGUCAGCUCGUGUCGUGAGAUGUUGGGUUAAGUCCCGCAACGAGCGCAACCCUUGUUCACUGUUGCCAGCACGUUAUGGUGGGGACUCAGUGGAGACCGCCGGGGUCAACUCGGAGGAAGGUGGGGAUGACGUCAAGUCAUCAUGCCCCUUAUGUCCAGGGCUUCACGCAUGCUACAAUGGCUGGUACAGAGAGUGGCGAGCCUGUGAGGGUGAGCGAAUCUCGGAAAGCCGGUCUCAGUUCGGAUUGGGGUCUGCAACUCGACCUCAUGAAGUCGGAGUCGCUAGUAAUCGCAGAUCAGCAACGCUGCGGUGAAUACGUUCCCGGG
This 1344-nucleotide ribosomal RNA is filed under the name uncultured bacterium. RNAcentral's name for it is "16S ribosomal RNA". It matches the Rfam family "Bacterial small subunit ribosomal RNA", at positions 28 to 1378 of the family's 1533-position model. The record is from RNAcentral.